Molecule: long non-coding RNA, 9698 nt
Organism: Cuculus canorus (common cuckoo)
Lineage: Eukaryota; Metazoa; Chordata; Aves; Cuculiformes; Cuculidae
Exons: 5
Source: RefSeq, a predicted model, not a curated record
CCUUUUCAACCCAAACUACUAGAGAUGACUGGGUCUCUAGAUUUUAAUUUAUGUUUCUGAAAUGAGUCUUACACUUACAGCUAAAUUUUCAUUACUGUGUAGGUGCUUAAGUACGACAGGAAUCUUGAGUGUAGUUCAAAAUUAUCAUACACUUGUUCUAGGAGUAGCAGUUUGUAAUCAGUACUGAUUUGAGAUCUUGGGCCUUUAUAUGACAAUUCAUAUUAUGUCAGUGUAGUUUGCUGCUACUGCUACUACUGCAAUUACUCCUGUAAUUUCUACUGUUUCUAGAUCUUUGCAAUUAAUUUAAAAAUUCUUUUCCUAUUAAUGUGAAUAAGCCCUUAGUCUCCUGUCCUUGACAGAGGAGAAUGUUCGCAAAUUGUGUGGACUUAUUUCAGCUGUAUCUCAUGCAUGUUGAAAAUGGAUGGCCAGACUGUGUGCCAGCACUAAAACAAGAGGAAACUGUAGAACUUGUUGGCUGAUACAUCUGAUCUGUUGGUAUUGGCUGCAAAAUAUAAAACAAUUUGGAAUGAGGCGCAAGUUCUUACGAGUAGGCAUCAUUACUGACUGGAACAAACUCCUAAGUUGGGACUCCAUGUCUUGUUGGAUCUUUGAAAUGGGACUGCAUAUGUACUGGGAAACCUCAUGUCAUCGUACUAAAUAAGAGGGUUUGCAGAUGGAAGGCCUUGGACUGCACAGUUGUGAAUGAAAGAAAGGGUAGAUUGUGAGAUUAUCCCUGUGAAUACAAGAUGGAUUACUAUGAAAAAUAUUAUGGUAUCCUAUUUUAUAGUAUUCAAUAUUUUACUUGUCACUUUAUUGUUAUGAGAUCAUGGUAGCACAUUAAAAUGCAGGACUAUAUAAGAAUAAACUGUAUAGCAUUUGGUAUAGCUAUACCUAUUAUGAAUAUUUUUAUUUUAAAAAGCAACAAAAUAAGAGAACAACUCUUUCUUAUUUUACCACUAUACAACUUUUUCCUAGAUUGCUGCCAGUUUUUCAUUUUCAAGUUCCUUGUCUACAUCCUUUCUGUUGAACAUCCUAAUCUCUCUUUUUUUAACACAGUCUCAGAGUGAUUCAUUUGUGACAGUCACAGAAGCAUGCACUCCAACACCCACACGCAGGUAAAUCUGCUGCGGUGAUAUAUUUUAAUUACAGAUUUAGUCAGAAGUAAUUAAGGUUUUAUGUCACAGGGAUAGCGGAGAGUUUUAAAAAUUCAUGUGGUUUCAUUCUUUGUGAGUGCGCAGUUUGUGACACAAUGGCUUGCAAAACAGGAACGACCCCUUAGUGCUGUUAGAUUAAUUAAUAGAAAGAGAAUAAACUUAAUGGAGCUAGAAAAGUGCAAAAAAUUGUGUUUUUUCCACUGUAUAUCACACAGAUGGAAUGGUCGUCCUGGGAUUGCGGCGGGGGACAGUAAUUGCAUUUUAAUUACAGUGCUGAUGGCUUCUGCUUCCUACCAGAUGGAAGGCCCUUUUAAAAUAGAGGCACAAUAGCAAGCCUCUGCUUAUUUUCUCUUCUGAUGCUAGCUAACAUAAAGUGACACAAGACAAAAGCUAUUAUGGUAUGGUUUGAUCAGAAAGACUUUAUUCAGUGCUAUAAGACUUUCUAGUAUGAAGAAAAUCCAUUCUCUGCCAGUAUUAAAAAGACUUCUUCUGUCUGGAAACUAAAAUGAAAAUAUGUGGGGAACUACCUACUACUUUUAUUAGUAACAGUCAUAGUUAAUCACAUUGUUGCUAGGUUGAUAAUAUUUAUAGAAAGAAAGAUAACUGAGACUUCUUUUGUUUAGAAUGCUUAGCAAAGAUGGCUCACAGGAUGGCUCUAUCUAGAAGAAGAUGUAGGUUACACUGAAGGUAACAAAUGCAAAGUUUAGUCUAUGAUGUCCUUUAUUUUACAAAUAUUAUUGGAAGUUAGCAAACAUAAAAGUGCUGAUUAUUGAGAAACUGAUGUUGCAGAGAAGGGUCAGAUCUGUGAAUAGUGUGAAAAUUACAUUCAAAGCCAUUAAAUUACAUUAAGAAGCAUACCUUUGUAGAUGCACAUACAGUAUUCAUAAGUGAAUAAAUGAAUUAUAUUUAAUAAUAUCUCACCUUUUUGUCAUAGUUUAACUGCUUCUUAUAUUAGUUUUCCAGCAAGAUGCCCUUCCACUGUCAUUGCAUCUUCGAAACUAUAGCCUCUGUUAUUUAUAUUGUAAAGAUAUAUUUGAGAAUCUUUUAUCUAUGCUUUAAGUCUUGAAAAAGGGGAGGCAACAAUAAAUAAAUUUGCUUCAUAGUUAAUGUGUAACUGAUUUAUUAAGCUGCUUCUUUGUGCCAGGGGUCACUCUCUGUAAUUUGUAUGUAAGAAAUGCAGUGAGUACCAGGCUCUAAUAGUAAUAUUAUUUAAUAUUUGUAACAAUUAAUUAAAAUUAGCACAUUGUAGUCCAGAAAGAUAUGACUUCUAGUGCUGUGCUGCCAGCAACUCAGCUGUUUCCUAGGCAGUUUCCUAUGAACCCACUAGAGUUAUCUCCAUAUUGUUGAGGAUUUAUGCUCAGCAAUGGCACUGAGCAGACUGUAGAAGGUGCACGCUUGGAGAAUAUGAAAACAGAGGGAACUGGGGAGAGGUUGGAAGGGUGUCCAUUCUCCACCUCUGUGGAACUUGAAUACUGAUAAUCGUGGAGUAUCUCCGGUUGGAUUAUUCUUCAUAGAAGUAUAUUUGCAUAAGCAUUUAUAAACCCAGUAUUUUUACAGGCCAUUAAUAUACUCGUCAUUUUCUUUCAUAACAAAUUUAUGCCUAAUUUUUUACUACUACAGUCCAAAAGGUCACUUUAAGUAUUACAUUGAAGGUUCAAAAAAUGAAUUAAAGAAAAGCAAGUGAAAGGCCAAGUAAAAUAUUUAGUGCUUUCCUCACUUCGAACUUCAUGAAACUAUAAUCAGCUAAUUUUUUGUAAUCAGAGUGGGAGGGCUUGCAAGCCUGUUGGAAGAAAAUCUCAGAAUUCUGAUGGAUCUUGAUGAAACUACAGGAACGAUUUGGUAACAACAAGAUGAAAACUUGUUAGGAAGGAGAAAUAAGUCUGAAAUGCAAAAUGUGAAGUCACUGGGUAGGGUGCUGAGCCUCUUGAAAAAAGGAGAGCAAUAGAAAAACAAAAGCUGAAUUUGAAUUAUUGUGAUUGAAUGGCAAAACCAGAUGUUUUUCUGAACUGUCUAAAUAGGAGUUGUAUUUAAGACAUGAGGUAGUUAUUAGCGUUUGCCUCAGGUUGGUGAUGUUAAAAGGGAUAACAUCUCUUUCUUUAGGGUUUAGUUCAAGAAAGACAUGGGUAACUUAAAGUUUCUGAGCAGAGCGUUCUAAAGAUACAGUAAUCAAUGGUUCCUCAUAUCCUCAUCUCACAAGAUUUUACUCACAACAAAAGAUUUAAGUUAGAUUGUAAAGAGUUUUUCUAACUACCAGGAUAAUUAGUAAAUGGAACAGACUGUCUAAGUCAUAAAGCCUCUUUCAUUAGAGACUUUAAAGAUAUUCUCAAAGUCGUACAAGGGAAGUGUGGUCAAGAUGAAAUCAGUGAUUUCAGUGUACAGAAUAAAUAUCUGUGAAGGGUCGUUUUAGUCUGUGUCAGUGUAAACUUUGUCAAUGUUUAUUAUUAUCUCUUAAGUGUUCUACAGUUACCUCAUGUGGUACCUUACAGCUCUUCAUUCCUUAUGCCUGCUUGUUUGGCCUUGUGCUCUCCCUCUAAUUACCUCUGUAUUUUUUAAUUUCUGUAAAAAUUUAAAACAACAAAAGCAAAAACUUGCCUCAUAUAGGAUGUGAGAAAUUUUCAAGUAUUGAAAAUGAUGUUUCCAUUGGGAAUUUGUGAAAGUAGCAUAAAAUGUGAGUUUUGUGUUGGAGCAGCUUAAAAUGUGCUCACAAUUUAUUUGUACUUCACAUUCAAUUCAGGAAAACACUAGUGUGUUGAAGAAGUCAAGAGAAAAACUGCAAAAGUAAUAAGGAGAUAGCAAAUAAUUAUUUGCUAUAAUAGAGUGAAAGAUCUAAGGCCACAGUGCAACAAAAGAAAACAUGCUGAAAGGUAUAAAUAGUUAUGCUGACAUCAGGGUUAGCUCAUUGUUUGGUUAAAUAGUCCCCUGAGUAAGAAUUGAUCUAGAUAAAUAAUAUCUAAGAUUGGGAAAGGUACAUGAUGAUGCCCUGUAAAUAUUUAAAAGGUAAAAAAAUGUAAGGGAAAAGAUUUUGAGACAGUUUUAGAAAACUAUUAAAAACUAAUGGAGUGGAAGAAAAUACUACCUUUGUGCAAUAUCAGGAAGUUAAAAAUAUCCAAUUACAUUUGAGGAUGAAGAUUUGAUCAUGAGAUCAAUAGACUUUAGAAGAGUUUUCCAAGAGCAGUGGUGCAUAAAAACGUAAAGGUCAUAGUAUGAGGUCAGAAAAAAUGUCCAUCUAUAACAAUCUCUUGUGGCCAUCAGCAGAUGUUUACGUUAGAAAAUAAAAACAAGAUUAGAAUAAAUAGAAGCUAUACUACUUAACAUUAAAAAUCAGAAACGAGUAUUAGUAGAAAAAAUAUUGUAAAAACAAUUCAGUAUUAAUUAUUGGAAUGGGGUACCUAACCUAACUGUUUUUAACUGUUUUUUCUAACAGUCUUAGAAAAUGUGAUUUCAUUAUAAAAUUAAUUGAGUGGAAGAAGUAUUCUAGAAUGCUCUAAGAAUUUUGUUUUGGUGACUCAUCAUGCUGGUAUAUGGUGAUACUUUGUUGUGUGAGAACACACAAUAGAGAUUAUUCCUUAUUAUUCCAGUAUCUAUACACAUUUUUACUUUUAUUUGUAGAUCUAUUGUUAAACACAGAUGUAGGAAAGCGUCGUAUUGACUCCAGCUUCUCUGAAAACAACAGGAAAAAGUAUUUGCUCAGUAGAAACUAAGUUUAGACUUAUUACUAAAGGACAAAUAACAGUGACUAUUAGUAUGAGAUGAAACUUAGAGUAGUUCCUUACAGGAAUGAUUCGAUAAAAUGCUUAGUAGUUACUGUGAUGUUUGAUUGAGGCUUAUAGUGUUACUUGCAAAGAUCUGGAAUGGCUAAGAACUUCCAAGUAUCAAGCUUCUUAUUUAAAGACAUUUUUUACAGUUAUAUUAUUUCAGGCAUUAAAAUUAUAAAAUACUUUCAAACAUUAUGCACAGUCUAGAGGAUGAAGAUGACUAUGGUAAACUAUAGAUUUUGAAAUACAAAAUAAUAACUUUCUGUUUAUUCUAAGAUAGAAUGCAAUUGCACAAGAAAUGUGUAGAUCCCAAAGGAUUGUGGCCACAUUAGCAGAGAUGCUGGAUAUUUGUAUUAAAUAUCUAUUUUAAUUCUUCAUAUUAUAUUUCAGAUCAUAAAUAGAAGAAAUAUCUAGAAACUAUCGUAAUAGGUUCUAUAGAAAUUAGUAAAAAGAAAUAAAUAUUUGACGUGUGUAUGUCCAUAUUUAAGCAAAUUGAUGUUUUCUGGCACUGUUUUAAAUUUCUACAUUGUAGAGAAAGUUUGCCAGCAAGGAACAGAAGGAGUAUUGACUUUUUACUAUAAUGACAUUUCUAUCAAAUUAAUUAUAAACUUGGGAAAUACUAAUCUAAUUGAAAUAAUAUUGCUAAAAGAAAAAUACAGUUAGGUUUUUUUUUCCUGGAAGUUUAAUGGGUGAGAGAAAGUGAAAGGCUUGGAAUACAAAAGUAUUAGAGAAAAUAAUUGCUGGUAUUAUAAUAAUUCAUAUGAAUAUUGUUGAAAAAUAUUAAAAUAUCUAUUUACCUAUUAAAAUCCAUGUGACAACUGUGGAAAGAAUUUAUUUUUUACUACUAAUAAUAUAAUAUUAAAAUAGAAAAAAUGUAUAUGAUUCUCAUUAGUUUGUUAUCACAAGACAUGUUGAUCAGCAAUCUAUCAUAUAUAAAAUUUUGCCCUGACACAAUAAAAAUGGCAAUAAACAAAUUAAAAUGGGAUUCACCUUUCUGUCAUGUUUGUAUUCACCAAACUGAAGAAGGAGCGUUCUAAAAUAGCUUACAUUGUUUAAAAUAAAAAUGGAGAUACUUAAAGAUUCAAAGAAUGUUUCUAUAAAGGAAGAAAAGACACUAUUUGCCAGGUUAGCAGCUGGACUGCACUAAAUCAGGGUAAAGGGCAGAACCUUUAGGUGGAGAACCAGGGGUGCUCAGCAUCUCUUAAGCACAGGAUUUCAAUAUAGAAUGGUGAAAAGGAACACUUCUAUUAAAACACAGUAGACAUACACAGGAUUGGAAGAGCAGUUUGUGCAAAGAAAUUAUAGACAAAAAGGCAGUGGCGUGCACCUUGUUUGCGCCUUUUGUGACGAUAACAAUCUGAAAACACUGCCCUUGAUGUUGAUGCUGUUUUCUUUGCAGAUGCAAAACAUAUUACUGAGUGCUCUUGACCCAAAAGGGUUCCUUCCAGUAUUGGUGGCAUCUUCUGGCUUACAUUUAAACAUCUUUUUAGCAGUCUGCUAAGACACUAAAUUGGCCUUUAUCACCUUAUUUUAUAUCAAUUGUAAAUGAUGGCCGCAUACAGGCUGAAAUAGAAUGUAGUUUAGACUAAGUUUAGUAAGUAGUUGAUUUUUGAAUCAGAUCAUUUACUUGGCUCUUUAACCCCUGAAUGACACAGGAUGAUCUUAACUUUUUGCCUAAUGCACAGCACAGUUUACUGAGGAUUUCUUGGGGAAUGGACUGAAAUGCAACAUGAGAAAACCACAGAGCUCCUUAGUGACUGUCACUGCAUAUUCCUUUCCAUUCAAGCCUUGCAUAUGUUAAGUUACACUUUUGUGAGAGGACUACCUUGUGCACUGCAGCACUCAGUUUCAGUCCCAGCAUUGCUCCUCUUGGUUUAUCUUCUUUCUUGAACACUCACAAGAAAAAGAGAAGAGCAUAAGGUGAGCACAACAGGACUUCAAAGCCUGUAUCCUUCUCCAUCAGGGCACCUUUGAAUUUGAGAGGGGGGACACAAAUUUCAUUUUGAACAGCCACUGGAUGUGGUAAGCAUUAACAGUUCAUACUUUUCUGACAAGGGAUCGGAAAAUGGGUUGAAGUAUAACGUUUUCAUGUCUAAACAAUACUAACAGCUCCUGACUUUUGCUCAAGGCUGCUUUGGGCCUGAGAAACUGGUUGACUGACUCUUAAAUAUUAGGAUUAAUUUCUCUGCUAUAACUGCGUUAGCUUCAAGAGGUAUCUAGAACUGGAUUAAUUUCUCUGCAGGUUCUGCAUUGGGCUAUGUGUAAAACAUUACACCGCUAGUGAAAACAGUACGAAGCUUGGGUUUUGUUAGAUUUGCAGGAAGGAAAAUGAUUGGUGCUGCUUUAGUAUUUACAAACUUCUCUUGAGAUACAGGCAAAAAUUGCUUUUUCUGCCUGUGGGAAGGUGGAAAAUACUGAAGGAAUUUGGAUCUGGUUCUUAACUAUAAAAUAAAAUUAACCCCACUCUAAAUUCUUUGCCAUAUUCCAGGGCUGGAUGUUGGAAGCAGAGCUCUUUUGCAGCAGUGGCAUGCUGUGAUUUGAGAUCUGCAUGCACUCUUUACCACAAAUCUUGUUCAUCUGAGGCUUUUAAAAAUACAGAUAUGCUUGAUUAUCUGUCCCUGUUCAGGAGUUAGCUUUCUGCAGGUUUUUCUAAAUUGCUGUUUUUACUCUUUGCUCUUAAAAAGCUUUAUAUGUGUAAAGAUGCAAAGUAUAUUAGAAGGGAAUGGUUUUAAAAGCAAAUGGUUCUUCUAGCUGAUACAUUAUAGAGAACUGUAUUUCACUUGUAAUUGCAGUAUUAUGUAACUCCACUCAUGUAUCAAACACUUGUGUUUAUGAUAUAAAAGUAUUAUCAAAUUGUUUUCCCCAUUUUCUGUAUAAAAUAUAUUACUGUACUAUAGCUACAUGUUGUUUGUUUUUAUUAUCUUUAUCACGUAGUAAAGAUAGUGUAAGAGUUACAAAGAAAUGUCUCUUUUUAUCCAGAAAUGUAUUUAUUUAGAUAUUCAUUUGCAAGUUCUCCAUAUGUUGAUUCAUCACUGAAGCAGGCAAUACUUGUGUAAAGGAGGCCUACAUAAAUAAUACUGUAAAUAUAUAAAAUACAUUUAUCAGAGAGUAGCUAAAUGAACCCUGCAUAAUAAGAAAAUGAUAAACUACUUUGUAUUAAUUGCUAAAAGCAGUGAUUCUAUUUGACAAAGCACUGAAUUGAGACUUAGAUCAUAUUCACUGCUAGAGCAAAUUUGCUUAUCAGCUUGCCUCAUUUUCCACAUCUAUAUAAUGGGAAAAAUGUUAUUGACUUUCUUUGUUUAGCAGUUUUAAGAUUUAAUGCUGAAUAAUGACAUAUAUGAGAUAUGUAUUGUUUAUAAUGUAAUGAACAGAGAAAUACAAAAUCAAAGUGACAGUGUGUUUAGAAGCUACCUAGAGUAAGGAUUUGCAAGCCAUCAGGAGAAAGCAUUCCAGAUUUACAACCUGUAAAAAGCACUGAUAGAAAUUUAGAGUGCUUAAACUGAGGAAUCAAUAAUAACAGGAACCACAUAGCUAUGAUGUUCGUGAUAGGACACAGAGAGAGGACUGUAGCUCCGUACCGAUGCCCUGAAUUGCUUUCAAUUUAUUCUUCAGUCCAAAUAAGAACUGUUCCAUUAUAUAAAUCAUGUUUAAGUUCUGUAACGCUUCUGAUGGUUUUAAGUGUUGGCUAUAUUUCACUUAGAUUUACAUAUGGCAAAGAAUUAAGAUGUGCUUGUCUGUGUUGUGUUGUAAACACAGUGGUUGUAACACUCAUUUGAGAAAUAAAGUAGUCUGUACAUAGGUAAAAGAUUAAUUUUUCUUACUUUGUUUACUCUUGGUACUUUGAUCCGUCGUUAUAUCACACAGGAUAUGAUGGUGUGUGAAUCAUUCUGUAGCAUUACAGGUACAAUAUAUCAUUCUCUUUUCCAAAAAUUCUACAUAGAUUUAGUUAAAAAAAAAGUCUCUGAAUCAGUUCCAUACUGCUCAUUCCCAUGUCCUACUCCAUUCAGUCAGGGUGGUGCCUUCCAGAGAUUGUAAGGGGGGCAGAGGAGUGAAUUUAAAGCAGUGACACAGAAAAGACUGAUGUUCUCUUCACAGGGGUUCCAGGUGAUGCAUCAGUUCCUAUUAGAAAUAGGCGAGAGUCACAUUUCCAGAGAAAUCUAGCUCAUCAAGGGCUGAGAGAAAAAAUCUUACAUAUCUCAUUUCUGAAUAAAAGUAACCCUUACAUCUUCACCUACCACUGUCAAAGUGAAGUCCAGAAAAGAUGCAACUUCCUGAGAAUAAGCAUAUAUGUAAGAAAGACCUCACUCAUAGAAUUCAGAAGAGCAGACUUCAGUCUGUUCAGGAACCUGCCUGAAAGAAACCCAUGGGGUACAGCCCUGGAGAGAAGAGGCAUCCAGGAGACCUAGUGAUUUUCAAGGAUCAUGUUCUCCAGACUCAGGAUCCAUCCUGACAAGAGAGAAAUCAGCUAAAGACAGCAGGAGUCCUGCACAGUCUGGUUAAAGACUGAAACAACUUGCCCAGAGGCAGCGUGGAGUCUCCAUGUCUAGAAAUGUUGAAAACUUGGCUGGACAUGGUCCGAAACAGUCUGCUUUAGUUCACACUGCUUGAGUGAAUGGGGUUAAACUAAGCAACCCCAGACGUCUCUUCUGAACUCGACUAUUCUGUGAUUCUGUGAAUGUAAAACCAAUUACUUUGUUGCAUCAAAAAGGACAGUAUUUAAGUAUUGCCGGACUAAAAAAUCCCUUAAUCAAAGAUAAUGGAUUAUUAUUCUUUUGCAGAAGUUCACCCA